GUUCUCGUCUCUCGUUUUCUGUAGAUAUAAGCGCCUACUUUGCUCGGUUGAUCUUUCAAAGGAUUUCUUCUUCAGCUACUCUUACAACAUCAUGCGCAGCCUUCAGAAGAACGUAACUGAGAAGAAUACUGGACAGGUUGUUUAUGAAACAAUGUUUGUAUGGAAUGAAUUUCUGACACGAGCAAUUCGGAAUCAUCUCAAGAAUACCAGUUGGACUGUUGCCUUAGUCCAUGGAUUUUUUAAACAGUACUGUCUAUUCAUCAUCGAAGACCACAAGUAGGGCUGCUGCUAACUCAAUGCCACCCAACUAACUUAGGCGUUUCACUCCACGUCUCAUGACCUGAUAUAUAGUGAAAGCUUGAAUAAAGGGUUUGCGAAGGCAUGGCUUUGUAUAACCUGCUGACAUUUUUCAGUUUGAGCUGCUUGAGGCUUUCCUGAGUCGAACAUUUGCUCCAAGUAAGUGUUGGGCACUAGAUCGGGGGCAAUGGAGGCCAGGACGAAGCUCUAGCAGGCUAU
Long non-coding RNA from Setaria italica (foxtail millet), 516 nucleotides. RefSeq lists it as uncharacterized. Lineage: Eukaryota; Viridiplantae; Streptophyta; Magnoliopsida; Poales; Poaceae. The record is from RefSeq and is a predicted model, not a curated record. The transcript is spliced from 3 exons.